Molecule: long non-coding RNA, 403 nt
Filed under: Nicotiana benthamiana
Lineage: Eukaryota; Viridiplantae; Streptophyta; Magnoliopsida; Solanales; Solanaceae
Description: long non-coding RNA (NBEN_LNC010104)
Source: RNAcentral
GUUGAUAAGAAAUUCUUAUUCCCCCUGGACACUGGAUCGUUUAAGGCGAAAAUCACCAGAUGGAGUUGUGAGUUCUUCUAGAGGUACCUCACCACCAAGGAGAGGGGAGGAACUGCAGAGAAGACCUCCAGUCGCACCUUAUAAUGACCCGAGACUUAGUUCAUACACAAGGAAAGAUGUCUCUGAGUUUUCACGCCCCAUGACUUCUGCAGUCUCACCACCAAGGAGAGAGGAGGAACUGCAGAGAAGACCUCCAGUCGCACCUUAUAAUGACCCGAGACUUAAUGCAUACACAAGGAAAGAUGUCUCUGAGUUUUCACGCCCCAUGACUUCUGCAGCUUACCCGUCAAAUGCAUCCCAACCUGCUGGACCUGGAAAGACUGUUGCACCAUUGCGUGCCCCA